RNAcentral lists this ribosomal RNA (402 nucleotides) under Triticum aestivum (bread wheat). Its description in RNAcentral is "partial small subunit ribosomal RNA". Lineage: Eukaryota; Viridiplantae; Streptophyta; Magnoliopsida; Poales; Poaceae. The record is from RNAcentral.
AUGGAUGAACUCCACCCCCUUUGUCACCCACUCCUAAUCCUCUCUUUCCCGCAAUUGUUGAAGAAGCUACAACCGGCCAGGGAAAAAGUUGCAUCCACACUCGGAGGUGUUGGAACCAGCCAGGGAAAAAGCUACGACCACUUCAAUCGGAGGACGACCAGAUUUUUCUGCUGGGUUCUUUCUUUUGUGUUGGAAAUGGUGGUGCAUGCCUAUGGCGAUGAGCGAGGGGAGGCUGUUGCAACCAUGGCGGUCGUGUGCUCGAACGGGCCGGUGAGAGAGUUGCAAAUCGUCAAUGGAAGGGAGUUUGGGACCCAGAGGAGGUCAUGCCGUAAUCCCGGUGGCUGUGUGGCGAGCGGCGGCAAGCUGGUUGUGCCGCCAUGGCUCGCGACGGAGCUGCAGUAG